This is a non-coding RNA of Podarcis lilfordi (Lilford's wall lizard), 72 nucleotides long. Lineage: Eukaryota; Metazoa; Chordata; Lepidosauria; Squamata; Lacertidae. The record is from the annotation of a GenBank genome assembly.
GUGGAUUAUAAAUUAGUUGGUAGAGCAUGAGACUCAAUCUCAGGGUUGUGGGUUCAAGCCCCAUGUUGGGCA